GGCAUGCUUCUGUAAACCUAGCUACUCAGGAGGCUGAGGUGGGAGGAUCACUUGAGCUGAAGAGUUUGAGGUCACAGUGUGCUAUGAUGGCGCCACUGCACUCCAGCCUGGGCGACAGAGCGAGACCCUAUUUGUGUGUGUGUGUGUGUGUGU
This is a long non-coding RNA of Sapajus apella (tufted capuchin), 153 nucleotides long. RefSeq lists it as uncharacterized. NCBI's taxonomy places the organism in Eukaryota, Metazoa, Chordata, Mammalia, Primates, Cebidae. The record is from RefSeq and is a predicted model, not a curated record. The transcript is spliced from 3 exons.